UAUUCUUCUUCCUUCUUCCCUCUCACGUUUCUUCAUCCUCCGAGGGAGUCCUCUUCAAGCUUCCAUAACUUUCUCUCUCUAGCUCUAAUUUUCAUGCCUCGGUGCACCUUUUCAUGAAAUCCUUGUGCUCUUUCACUUUCUCACUUUAAAACCCUUGAAAAAUCUUACUUUCAUACUUUUUCUCACUAGCUAAGUGUUUAGAGAGAGAAAGAGAGAGAAAGCUCCCAUAAUAGCUUGGAAAAUUUAUUGAACAGAAUUUCAAAGUUUCAAGCUACCAAGGUGAGUAGGGGGUGUCAAUUUUAAAAAUUUUCAUAAAUAUAUACCUAUAAAUAUGAUUUAUUUUAAUUGCGAAAAUUAUGGAUAACAUGUGCUGGUAGAUAUUUUAGGGAAUUGUGAAUGUUUGUGGUUGAGGUUGAGGUUAUCCACUCAUGUUAGAGUGAUUAGGGUAGUGAAAAUAGAUAGCCAUUUAAAUGGCAAUUGGAAGCUAGCUAAGAGAAAGCUUUAGACUUUAUAAGUAUGUGAAUUGACAAAUUGGUGAUGCUAAUGUGAUGAUAGGUUCCAAUGAAGCCCCAUCAUCCCAUUUGGACAAUUAGGGAAGUUAGGAUCGGCUAAUGGCUCAAAUAAUACCGGUGAGUGGACUUGCAUUUCAAAAUUUGUUUUGGGAAUGUGAAUGUAAUUGUACAAAGGAACAAGUCUUUGGUGAAGUGUUUUUAUCUUGUGAAAAUGUUCUAUAUAAAUGGUUUAUGUGUUAUCACAAUAUGAUGAUAUGUAUAAUAUGCAUUUGGUGUUUCUUUCAUAUGUUGAUGUGGACCCGGCUAUGUGCGAGUAGGAGUGCGCAUACGUCGAUGAUGACCCGACUAUGUGUGAGUAGGAGUGCACAUAAGUCGAUGAUGACCUAGCUAUGUGCGAGUAGGAGUGUGCAUAAGCCGAUGCUGACCCAGCCAUGUACUAGUGGGGAGUGCAUAUGAGCUGAUGACGAUGGGAGAGUGUGCAUGAUGAUGGAUAUAUAUAUAUAUAUAUAUAUAUACAUAUAUAGAUAUGUUUGUCAUGGAAUGUUCAUGAAUAUGUAUAUGGUUGAAAUGCAUGUGAAAUUUGACAUGUUCAGCUUUAGGAAUUUAUAUGUGUUUCAUGUUGCAUUUGUCAUGUGAACAGGGUGGCUUUUUCUUGAGGAAAUGGGGAAUUUUUGCUGAUGCCCUAUUUCUCGCUGUGGCGAGAUUCAUUCUCACUGCAGCGAGAAACUCUUGGGUUUUCGAGGGUUUCACUAGACAUGGUUCUCGCUGCAGCGAAAAACUUUCUGUUUCACUUAGUAUCUUGAUCAAUUGCUGCGCUAUUUUCCACUUCUUUGGUACCAUAGUUGAGCAUGGACUUCCAACAUUAAGGAAUAAACAAAUUAAGUUUAAAAUGAGGGGUUUGGUGAGAAACCCUCAGCCAGCUAAGAAACCCUCGGCCAGUUGAUAAUUUAAGUCAAAUGUCACUGCAGCGAGGACCCGUUAUCUACUUGACUUGAAUUGCAUGAAAGUUAUUAAAGUUUUCAUUCUUCAAAUCUUUUGUUGAGCAUGGACCCUUUACAUUAAGUGAUUUAAUCAAUUGCGGUUUUCUUGAGGGGUUUUGAUAAGCACUAAAUUAAAUUGCAUUAUUUUGAAAUAAGCGCAUCAUGAUUUUUAAAUUCUUCCUUACUGUUACUUGUUCCCUUCCUUGUUCACUCAUUGGGUUUGUACUUACCGUUUUCAACUUCAUGUUUUUAGAUCACGAGGUAGCUGAUAACUAGGUCGAAGUGUCUUCGUAUAUUUGACCCUUGGUAGGUGUCUCGGCAUUCAGUAGCUGUACAUUCGUUCGAGUCUUUCCGCUGGGAGUGGAGUACUCUUUUGUUGUGUAUAGACAGACCCAAUGUAAAUUAUUAAGACAUAUGUUUAGACAACACCUGUAUAUUAGUUGAUAAUGCCAUUAUAAGUCAAAAAUGAAUAGCAUUAACUAGAUUUUAAAUUAUGAAAUGUGACUUUAGUAAUUUG
RNAcentral lists this long non-coding RNA (2009 nucleotides) under Theobroma cacao (cacao). RNAcentral's name for it is "long non-coding RNA (TCAC_LNC000882)". The record is from RNAcentral. Lineage: Eukaryota; Viridiplantae; Streptophyta; Magnoliopsida; Malvales; Malvaceae.